This 396-nucleotide unclassified non-coding RNA is filed under the name soil metagenome. RNAcentral describes it as "partial contains 5.8S ribosomal RNA, internal transcribed spacer 2, and large subunit ribosomal RNA". The stretch from base 1 to 122 matches the Rfam family "5.8S ribosomal RNA", at positions 35 to 154 of the family's 154-position model. The record is from RNAcentral.
GAUGAAGAACGUAGCGAAAUGCGAUACUUGGUGUGAAUUGCAGAAUCCCGUGAACCAUCGAGUCUUUGAACGCAAGUUGCGCCCGAAGCCAUUUGGUUGAGGGAACGUCUGCCUGGGCGUCACAUAUCGUUGCCCGAUGCCUAUUGCACUGUGAUAGGAAAUUCUAGGGCGAAAGAUGGCUUCCCGUGAGCGUUGUUGCCUCGCGGUUGGUUGAAAAUUGAGUCAUUGGUAGGGUGUGCCAUGAUAGAUGGUGGUCGAGUUUGCACGAGACCGAUCAUGUGUGCGCUCCCCAAAAUAUGGACUCUUUGACCCCACACGCGUCCUUUGACGCUCAUGACGAGACCUCAGGUCAGGCGGGGCUACCCGCUGAGUUUAAGCAUAUCAAUAAGCGGAGGA